CCCAGCAGGGGUAUCUACAGCUUUGGAACGCAAAAGUUCUGUCAAGCGGUCAAUUUCAUCUCUGCUGAAUGUCUUUUGUUUCAACAGUUGCUCAAACUCUGAGAAUGCACCAUCCUCAGAACUGCAUGCAACUUUGCAAACUUCAUGUCCAGUGGCUACUACUGGUCCAGCAUGAUCAUUAAGACAAGACUCCUGCUGCACAUCCUUUGAUUCUUGUCUUGCUUCUGGAGGAGGUGGCAAUGGCAUCGGAGGUAGUGGUAAUGGUGUCGGAGCAGGG
RNAcentral lists this unclassified non-coding RNA (277 nucleotides) under Hevea brasiliensis (rubber tree). The record is from RNAcentral. Lineage: Eukaryota; Viridiplantae; Streptophyta; Magnoliopsida; Malpighiales; Euphorbiaceae.